Small nuclear RNA from Hippopotamus amphibius kiboko, 107 nucleotides. NCBI's taxonomy places the organism in Eukaryota, Metazoa, Chordata, Mammalia, Artiodactyla, Hippopotamidae. The record is from RefSeq and is a predicted model, not a curated record.
AUGCUUGUUUCUGUAGCACAUGUACUAAAAUUGGAACGACACAGAGGAGAUUAGCAUGGCCCCUGCACAAGGAUGACAUGCAAGUUCGUGAAGCAUUCUGUAUUUUU